Molecule: long non-coding RNA, 4380 nt
Filed under: Neodiprion pinetum (white pine sawfly)
Lineage: Eukaryota; Metazoa; Arthropoda; Insecta; Hymenoptera; Diprionidae
Description: uncharacterized LOC124217876, transcript variant X1
Source: RNAcentral
GAGAAUAACCGCAGGAAAUGAUUUUAGCAAUGAGUGAAUUACAGAAAUACAUUUCUUGGCAUUAUUUUGGCACAAGAUAUUUUUGUUGUUGAACCUUUGUCUUACACAUUACAUGUAGACUGGCACUGACUGCAUUAUUUUUAAUUCAGUGACGUGUAGAAGCUAACAAUGGUCAGUGACAUUUAACAUGGAUGGUGAAGACUGACCACAGCAUUCUAGUAACCAGGGGAAACGGGGACAAGAGUGACCUGAAUAAAUAAAAUUCACGGUUAAUGCGAAAAUCAUAUGUAUGUUUGUUCAAUUUGAAAUACAGUUAAUAAUUGACUCUGCAAGUAUCCAUAACAUUUUUAUCUCCAGGCUGGCUGCACCCGUUGCGGCCGUUACAUGCACCGUUGACUGAAGAAUAUAGACACCAAGGUCGCCAGAUGGCCAGCGCAUGAGGAUCGUACCAACCCAAGAAGAUUUACGGUACCAUUACAGAGGGAAAUCUCCUACCUAAGAGGAUGGGAUAGAGUGGAAGCUAAGCGUACCCACCGUCGCGCGCACCGUCUGGUGAGUCGCAGGACAAACCAAUUGCAUAUGUGUGCAUCGCGUCAUACGUGUGUGAGUCAACACCGGCAAUAUUUGCAAACAAGACAAGUUGUAUCAGAAAAGCUGAAAUCGAAUAUUCAUUGUAAAGUUAAGUUCUUUGGUUAAGUUGUUCUAAUUGAAUAUGGUUGUGUACUGCGGUGUGAAAGGGUGCAAUAGAAAUGCUAGAACCGACCGGGAACAUACAUUUUUUCGAAUAGCAGUAAUGCCGAAGACUUGUGGUGUACCAGGAUGCGACAGCGGGAAAUAUCAAGAUCGCUGCGGCCCAUUUCUCUGUUUGCCGUACCUAAGAGUGACCAUCGACUCGAAGUAUGGAAAAAUGCUUUGAAAUACGAUCUUAUAAAAACGCAGCACAUUUGUCAGCUGCACUUUGCAGACAAAUACAUUCGGAAGAGCGAGACGAUUAAAUUGUUCGAUGAUACAAUCAGCUGUGUAUCUCGCGACCAUUGGUCUUUAGAAACUGAAGCUGUACGAAUGCUGCUCGUUCAACCUACGGAACGAAGCGAACAUUUUAGAACAACAACGUUCCUGUCGCGGAUAGUGUCAUGGAGCACGACGGCAUAGUCGAAUCAAUCGAUCGAGUUGGUGAGGAGGAGAGCAUUUUAAAUGACAAUUCUGCCAAUAACAGCCUGGGGAUGGAAUCUAGUGAGAUUCUAGAAGGAAUGGUCCAUGAAAAGAUCACACGAGAAUGUAACUGCAAACGGCAAUCCAACAUUCUCAAUUCAUGAUUUGAAAGAAUCAGAGUAUUUCGAACAAAAUUAUAGAUUUCAAGGACACCAUAAAGUCUACGGCCGACAUUCUCAGCUACAUGAACACGGUGAAAAACUUGUCUGUUUGCAGGGGGACGGACAUUGGAAAUGAAAAGUGCAAUCCUGAAUGCAUGGGAAUUCUCAAUGAUACUGAAUCGUACAAACAUACGGUGCAGCGUCUAUGGUGUAUCCGUUGUCGGCGGCUUCGCAAAAAGUUAUUGCAAAUAGAGAAAAAAAUUGUUCUUCAGAAGAAAUAUGAGGAGUCAAAAUAUACGCUGCACAGUUGCAGCGACGAAAGUAUCUCCGUUCGCAAUGGAAGAUUAAGAUGAUGAAGGCAAAUAUAGAUUCCAGUGUGUUGGAAAAUAAUAUUUCCGGUUUUCCGGAUGCGCAACAAGAAGCGAUUAAAUCAUGCUUGGAGGCCUCCAAAGUUAAAUCUCCCAACAGGCAGAGAUACUCAACCAACUGGAUAUACGAAUGUUUGUUGAUGCGGAUAAAAAACGCAGCCCUGUACGAACAUCUAAGGGAUCGACAAAUUUUACCAGUUCCCUGCCGCAAAACGUUGAACAGAUAUAUUCAAAAGAUUAGCUCGUCGUCCUAGGGAUUUCAGGAAGCUAUCUUCGAAGACUUACGGAAAAAGGAUCGCAGAUGGAAAAAUCUUUUAAAAGAGGUACCCUCCUAGUCGACGAGAUGAAGUUGAGUGAGGCAAUUUCAUUUGACCAGAAGACAAUGGAGUUUGGAGGUUUCGUCGAUUUAGGGAAAUAUACUCCGGAAAACAAAAAGCAACAAGAGCAGACCACGCGCUCGUCUUUAUGUUUCAACCAUUUCGAGGCAUCUGGUUGUUCUCGCAACAAAUUCGUGCAGCUAUGGAAGUUUACGAACAGACAUGCCUGCAAUUGAAAGAUUCCAAACCAACGAGGGCUUUUUCUGAGCGCGUUCACAAUGUAAUCAUGGCGAUGAUGUUCAGAACGCCUCUCAAUGCGCUUCGUCUAUCCGAAUCCUGUCCACAAAAGAAGCAAUCUUUAACUGCCAGCUUCUAAGAGGUUCCCCAAGACGAAUUUGGACAUUCAACGUUGGAUUUCCAAUCAUCGUCAUUUAUACGUUCUCGUACCAUGGUGGAGACUGUGCUGAGAUUGUUUUCGAUGUUGUUCAAUUCAAUAAACUGUCGUUCGGAUAAACUCGUUCAUUUAUUAGAGGAUUGCUGCUCACUAUCUAAUGAUCUUUCAGAUCGGUAAUACUUCCUUCGGACGAUCGAUGUGGACUGUCUUGACAUGACAUUACCCAUGAUCCUGAACUGAUGGCUUGACCUUUUUGUUUUCCUUGCAUGAAUGUCUGCUCACUCUGGAAUCCUGGUUGAAGUAAUCCUACCUGGUGGUGCUGAUUUUUUUUAUGUGCUCCGGGCGUAUAAUAUUCAUUUAUACAUUGCGUUUCUUCGUCCAUCUGUGUGUUCGUAUGUUCUUUUCGUUUCUUGUCUGGGAGCAUUACAUCGAUGUUUAUUUUGUCUCUUUUAUCCAGCUGUGUGUCCAUGUGAUUUUUUGCGCUCCGGGAGCGUAACAUCGAUUUUUAUUUUAUGCUGUUUUUAUGUAUUUCUGUACAAUAAUCUCCCAUUCCAAUUUGUAUAACACUUACCUCAUCACAUUAUUAUAUUUUUUUCGAUAUUUACUGGGUCUGUUAUUUUAACACUUGCAGUAGCAAUUACUUUGUUAAUUAUGCUGCUUCCUAAUGCUUCCUCACAAUAAUCAUUUUUCCAUUCAUUCCUGCUAUACUAAAUAGGCCAUUUCAAGCUUCCUCGCGUACUUGAAGGAAUGGGAGUCAUCAGUUUCUUCGCUAAAAGAACUGCCAAUAUCGUCAAGUACCUUGAAAGGUUUGAAAGUGAUCCUGGGAGCUACCCUCGAAAUCUUGGAUGCCUUGCAAUCACGAUCCAAUUUUGAGUACCUUAUGACCGCACGACUAAACCAAGACGCUUUGGAAAGGAUUUUUAGUAUGACGCGCAAAGCCUGUGGUAGAAAUGACCAUCCUGAUCCGCAGUUCUUCGCUCAAAUGUUUUGAUUGUUGUGCAGCCACUCGUUAGUAAAGCCUCGAAGAGGGAAUAACGUCGAAGGACAUGAGCUGCUCGAAACACUAAUGCAGACGACAGAUUCGUUGGCUGCUGCAUCAAAACCACGCACUGAAUGGUUGCAAACCAUUGACGACAUGCUGGAACAACAAGUACGUGCCGACGAAGCACCCAUGGAAACUUACCAGCGGGAUCAUGAUUACUAGGUUCCAUUGUCGAUGGAUUUUAGCACGUGGAAGGACAGCACGCACGACCAUACGUACGUCACACGUACAAGUGCAGAAGUACAAUGUUACAUAGCUGGUUACGUUGCCCCAACAAUGAUGAAGAAGCUGAAAUGCUGCGACUGCAUAAAUUCCUUAAAAUCUCGUGAACCAGGAGUUACUGAUCCGACUCAUGUAGCCAUAAAUCUUCUGGAGAAAUUUGGAGGGUUGAUCCGGCCUAGUGAGCCCUUGUUUCGGUUGACCGAAUGCCUGGAAUCAACUGUAUUGGACGUUACUGGUAAAUUCGGUAUACACGUCGAUACGAUCCACACCAUUCUCCAGAGAGCAUCGGAAAUUCAAAAUCUACCAAUGGUUGAUUAUGCUGAUCACUACAUGAGUUGCACAAGAAAGAUCAUUGACUUUUAUAUAAUUAUGAGAGCUUGUUUCCUUGUCAAAUCAUACAACGCCAACCAGAAUGAGAGUCGUAUAAAAAUGAAACGACUCCGCAAGAACGCGAAGCUUUAGAUGCUACGUUGUGAAUACUCGAAGAUACUGUUGAAACUCGAUUCUAACCUUCAAUACGCGAUGCUCAUCAAACAGGUUAUGUCGAUUGACGAUUUGGGUGGGAUAUUUACUGAUUACCGUUGAAUAUAAAAUCGAUUACGUCCUGGGAGUUAAGGAUUAGGUUGUUGGUAAGAGCCUUUUCCAAAAUCUCGACGAUUUGGAUCUUGAUGAUAAGGAUGACAAAGAUGAUCUGGAUAAUGCUUUGAAUAAAGUAACUAGACUU